UAUUUGUAUAAAGUAUCCAGAGUCUGUAUUUCAGCUGGGAGUCUUGUAGCUUGUGUGUGGGGUCGCUCUCCUUCAACCUCUCACUGCUGGUAUCGAAAGUGAAAGAAGAGCAGCAGCCCGGCGGGUACACAGACGCACGGCUGAAUCCAUCCAUCCGCAAACAAGUUCACUAAUCUAAAAAAUGCCAGCACUCUCAUUUGAAAGACAUCAGUAUGAAUCAUGACACUGUUCAAAUGUUCAGAGAGAAACUAGACAGCCUCAACAUCUCAGAUUAUUAUGGCCUGGACAGUCCAGGUCUGACAUGCUAUUUGAACAGCGUGCUUCAGGUGCUUUUCAUGACCCAAGACUUCCGGGAGGCUGUGAAACGAUGCUGCAGUGAAGACUCAACAAGCAUUGACACUGUGCUCGAAAAACUGUUUGCUGAUUUACAGCAAAAUAUGGCUAAAACAAAUCACGUGAUAAAGAAACUGGGGAUCUCGAACAUAUAUGAACAACGUGAUGCUGCUGAGUAUUUUGAGAAGAUCCUGUGUCUGACCAGUCCAGAGGCAGCCAAGAUAUUUAAGGGGGAACUCAAUCACAAGAUCAGAUGCCUCGGGUGCAAUGAGAAAAACGAUUCCAAGAGCUUUUUUUGGAUUCUGCCACUGGCGGUGGAGGAUUUGCCUCGUCAAACUUACAGUGUGGAGAAAGGGUUGAAGGCAUUCUUCAAGGGAGAAAAAGUCUGCGGGGAAGACAAGAUGUUCUGCAACCACUGCAAUGAAAAGCAAGAUGCUGACUUUGGAUGUGAGAUAACGCACAGUCCAGAGACUUUGACCCUUCUGUUGAAGAGAUUCAGCUACGACUACAAGCGCAGGUGUUACGCCAAGCUUCACUGCAACGUGGAUGUCCCCCAAACUUUACAUGUGAAGAAUUGCAAAUACAAGCUCUACGCUGUAGUUAACCACUUUGGUAAUCUAUCAGGAGGUCAUUAUACUGCACAUAUAAAAUCUUUUGAAACUGAUGUGUGGUAUGACUUCAAUGACGACAUUGUUAACAGGGUUAAACAAUCAGUGUUUGGAGCUGGAGACAAGUCUUUGAAGUCUCAUACAGCGUACCUCCUCAUGUACAGGAAGGUGAGCAGACAUCCUGAAACAACUUAUGAAAGCAACCAGGAGGCUCCCUGUGCACAGUCAGACGUCAAGGCCGAAGGAAGACAUGGCAAGGCCGAAAGAGGAGAGCCUGCUGUUCCUCAUCAACUGAAGGAUGAAAGCUGCAUCAUAGGGAAAAACCUAAUGCCCUUGAAUGGUGACGUGAUCUACGAUUGGAGGGAACAGACAAACCUGUCUGGGGAACUGGACACACAGUCAAACCAGGAAGCGGCAUGUGGAAGGCAGCGCAAGGAGAUGCUCAAAACAGACACUGGAGCAGAUCGAGAUAAUAUGCAAAGACAAACAUCAAAAUGUGCAAAGCUACAAAAAGAUGGAGGACUGAAACAUCAUGAGCCAAUCAGACAGCAGCGCAGUACAAACUCAGAGGAGCACAUGAGGCAUCUUCAUACCAAAAGGACCCCUACAGCAGCUUUUAAAACACACCUGUUAGACUACAUGUUCGAGCAAAAUCACACAUCCCCAAAUGACAGACUGAAAUCAAAUGAGACUGUCAGUGUUGUUGCAAAGACUGGAACCAGCGAAACCUUCAAACCUGCAGAAACUGAAACUGUGAAACACACAAGAGAGGCUGGUGUCGGUGCAAAUGUGUGUGAUUCUAAUGUAAAGUCACUGUAUGUUUCCUCCAAUGGCCGCUCCUCUUCUUCAGCUCAGUACUCAACAGGACACUUUCAAGGUCAGUGUAGAAAGAAUGAACCAACAUGGUGUAGCUGUUCACCAAACCUGUGCCGAAAGUCAAACGGUUCAAAGAGAGAUAAGGAGAAAAUGCAGCAUGCUGUGACUGUGGAGAGCUGCUACAAACCUGAGACCAAACAAACUGUGAAAAAGGGAGAGAUACCUGCAAGUCCAAGAGAGAGUCUCAGAAAGAGGAGAACAGCUGUAGAGAGUAGGGACAAAGCCAAACAAGAGCCAUGGCGGUGAUGGAAUAAUCAGGAUAAAGUGAUAUGUGGUUUGAUUAUUGAGUAUUUACAUCUGUAGCUGGACUCAUGCAAAGCUGAUUCUUUUGACACUGUUGAUCGUGUGCUGCUAUCAACUGUGACAGAAACAGACUGUGAUCAAUGAUGUUUUGUGUUGAUUAAAUGUCUUGCGUGGCAUUACAGAUGAAUAAGUGUUACCUUUGUACUGUUCAGUUCAGUCAAGUGAAAGGCUGGUGUGUAUCUCUUUAAUUUUGAGGAUGAAAGUGAAGUGUUUUUUUUUUUUUGUUUUUGAAUGGUUUCCUUUAAGCGUGCACAUCCGCACACUGCUUUGUAACUGCAUCAAGCAAAUGAACAGGGCGGAAGACAGUGAAACACCACUUCAAAGAUGGUUGUGAAAGUGGUCGUGAACAGGCCAGGGGUGGAUGAGAUAACCAUCAACCUGUGCGACACUGAGGAGCAGUUACAGAGCAUGAUGGUGCUGCAGCUGAAGAAGAAGAUAAUAGAGGGACAGAAUGACUCUGGAGGACCAGGCCUCGGUGAGGACCUGCAGCUGAUCUUCAAAGACAAGGAUCUGGACGGAGACUCCACCCUGCUGUCCGAAUAUGGAAUCCAACACGUCAGUCACUCAAACAGGCCAAAGGGUCAAAGUUGUUCUCAAGACGUUUGAACAGGCUGAUGCAGUUUGGCAUAGGAAGGAUGAAUUGGUUCUGUGCGGUCAGGCUGGAGGGACUUGUGGGUUGGCUGAAGUGGCUGACAUGAGAACUGUACGUGGGGCUGACACAGAUUCUACUAUUUGUGAGGGUGAUAUGGGUGAUAAGAAGGAUAAGCACCAAAGUAUAGAAAGGCUGUCUAUUUGUAAACCAACUCGGCAUGUAUUCUCGACUCUCCGUGUUUUGUUCCUUAUCUUACAGAAAAGAGCUCAGACACAAUGCAGUCCAACUUCGCCAAACUGUAUUGACCUUUGUUACCCAGACAAUCCAAUACCAUGAUCUGACAUUAAUGUGAACAGCUGACUACAUGACAUCUCUCUUCCUUUGAGAAAAAAACACAGUAAAAAGUAAUUUUCCAUCAACAGCAGACCAACAGUGAUAAACUGUUUACUUUAAGAACAAGACCCUUCACUCACUCCUUUUUAUUUCAUUUAUUUAACCUUUAUCUAACCAGAAAAACUGAAAGUGUUUGUUAUGAGUUCAUGGAAUAUUAUCAGACUCAGAAAGACAUAAAGAAAAGCUAAAAAUGUGUCAUCAUGUAUGCAUGUUGAAUGAUCUGAUGUUUCAAAAAUAUUUGAAAAUAUCUUACUAUAUUAUGACGAAAACUCUGUCUGUGUGUCUGUUCCACGUUUUUCUCCUCACUGACUUGGUCAAUCCAUGUGAAAUUUGGCACAGUGGUAGAGGGUCAUGGGAGGAUGCGAAUGAAGCAAUAUUACAUCAAUUGGCCAAAGGGGGCGCUAUAGCAACCGAUUGAAACUUUGAAUGGGCAUAUCUCAUGCCCCGUAUGUCGUAGAGACAUGAAACUUUGCACAGAGAUGCCUCUCCUCAUGAGGAACACAUUUGCCUCCAGAACCCAUAACUUCCGCUUAUACAGAUUUUCCACAAUUUUGAAUUUUUUGAAAAACACUUAAAAUCGAUCUCUUCCUAGGAAGUUUGAGCGAUCUGCAUGAAACUGGGUGAACAUAAUCUAGGGACCAAUAUCUAAAGUUCCCUCUUGGCAAAAGUUGGAAAACU
This is an RNA transcript of Epinephelus fuscoguttatus (brown-marbled grouper), 3783 nucleotides long. RefSeq lists it as uncharacterized. The transcript is spliced from 12 exons. NCBI's taxonomy places the organism in Eukaryota, Metazoa, Chordata, Actinopteri, Perciformes, Serranidae. The record is from RefSeq and is a predicted model, not a curated record.